AUUGAACGCUGGCGGCAUGCUUUACACAUGCAAGUCGAACGGUAACAGGCCGCAAGGUGCUGACGAGUGGCGAACGGGUGAGUAAUGCAUCGGAACGUGCCCAGUCGUGGGGGAUAACUACUCGAAAGAGUAGCUAAUACCGCAUACGAUCUAUGGAUGAAAGCGGGGGACCGUAAGGCCUCGCGCGAUUGGAGCUGCCGAUGUCAGAUUAGGUAGUUGGUGGGGUAAAUGCUCACCAAGCCAACGAUCUUUAGCUGGUCUGAGAGGACGACCAGCCACACUGGGACUGAGACACGGCCCAGACUCCUACGGGAGGCAGCAGUGGGGAAUUUUGGACAAUGGGCGCAAGCCUGAUCCAGCAAUGCCGCGUGCAGGAAGAAGGCCUUCGGGUUGUAAACUGCUUUUGUACGGAACGAAACGGCUCUGGUUAAUACCCGGGGCUAAUGACGGUACCGUAAGAAUAAGCACCGGCUAACUACGUG
Molecule: ribosomal RNA, 482 nt
Filed under: uncultured bacterium
Lineage: Bacteria
Description: partial 16S ribosomal RNA
Rfam family: Bacterial small subunit ribosomal RNA
Source: RNAcentral